RNAcentral lists this long non-coding RNA (564 nucleotides) under Monodelphis domestica (gray short-tailed opossum). RNAcentral describes it as "lncRNA (ENSMODG00000032061.2)". Lineage: Eukaryota; Metazoa; Chordata; Mammalia; Didelphimorphia; Didelphidae. The record is from RNAcentral.
GUGCCUACUUGGGAAGAAUUAGUUGGAGUUCCACAGAAGUAUAUGAAUGUUUCAGAACCCAUGUAGGUCUCACAAGAAAUUUGGGAAAUUUGAAAUGUAAUCAACCCCAGAGAAAUUUCUGGUGAUUUCUAAAUCAGGGUUGCAGAUGAAAUAAAGCUAUACCCACAUGUGGAAUUUCCCCAAAGCUUUUUGAAGGUUCUGUGCCUCCAUAAUGGCAGAGAUGAUCUAACUUGAAUAAUCUAGAACUCUCACUAAAUUCUGUCAUCCAUCAUUUUCCAGAUUCAGAUGACUUCAUGACUUGGGGUUCCUGGUUGGCAAAGCAUUGAUCCUUGCAUGUUUGACCUUCCCACACAGUCAGGAGGAAGCCAGGACCAUAGAGACCUUGGCAUUUCCACAGAGUUCCUCUGAUGUUAGGGUAGGAGCUAUCAUUAUUCUCAUUGUGGAUGAAGAAACUGAAGCUGAAAGAAUGUGAUUUUCCCAGGGUCACCCAACUGGUUAAGCGUUUGACGUAUUAUCUGAACUGAGAUCCAGCAGACUCUCGUCUCAUUCUCUAACCACUGUUCU